Molecule: long non-coding RNA, 209 nt
Filed under: Dromaius novaehollandiae (emu)
Lineage: Eukaryota; Metazoa; Chordata; Aves; Casuariiformes; Dromaiidae
Description: lncRNA (ENSDNVG00000016329.1)
Source: RNAcentral
CAGUUUUCUGUAAACUUAUUUCUUGGUCUGUUUUUUGAUUUCCAUAGGGAAAAUAGGGUAGGAAGCGGUCUACCUCAGAGAUGUGCAAGUGCUUUUUUCGUAGACGUAACAAAGGUCCAUCUCGCAGGUGGCAGGUGACCCCAUAACUCCGCUGACAGUGGAAUGAUCGAGCUGCACUCCCCCAAGGAAGACAAAGGCAGCGACUGUCC